GUACUUACUUCAGCAGCACGUAUACUAAAAUUGGAAUGAUACAGAGAAGAUUAGCAUGGCCCUUGCAUAAGGAUGACAUGCAAAUUCACGAACCAUAUUUUU
Molecule: small nuclear RNA, 102 nt
Organism: Hippopotamus amphibius kiboko
Lineage: Eukaryota; Metazoa; Chordata; Mammalia; Artiodactyla; Hippopotamidae
Source: RefSeq, a predicted model, not a curated record